UACGAGGGGGGCAAGCGUUGUUCGGAUUUAUUGGGCGUAAAGGGUGCGUAGGCGGUUUGGCAAGUCUGAUGUGAAAUCUAUGGGCUCAACUCAUAGUCUGCAUCGGAAACUGCCGGGCUUGAGUAUGGGAGAGGUGAGUGGAAUUCCUGGUGUAGCGGUGAAAUGCGUAGAUAUCAGGAGGAACACCUGUGGCGAAAGCGGCUCACUGGACCAUAACUGACGCUGAUGCACGAAAGCUAGGGGAGCAAACAGG
This 253-nucleotide ribosomal RNA is filed under the name uncultured bacterium. Its description in RNAcentral is "partial 16S ribosomal RNA". It matches the Rfam family "Bacterial small subunit ribosomal RNA", at positions 524 to 776 of the family's 1533-position model. The record is from RNAcentral.